RNAcentral lists this small RNA (102 nucleotides) under Arabidopsis thaliana (thale cress). RNAcentral's name for it is "ATSL067060". Lineage: Eukaryota; Viridiplantae; Streptophyta; Magnoliopsida; Brassicales; Brassicaceae. The record is from RNAcentral.
AAUAGACACAUAACAUCAUCUAACUAUUCGUCUAAUUGAUCCGUCUAGCUAGUUAACGAUAUUUCUCAAUUUAGUCAUCAACAAAAAUUCGUGAUUAAAUUA